This 465-nucleotide ribosomal RNA is filed under the name uncultured bacterium. RNAcentral describes it as "partial 16S ribosomal RNA". It matches the Rfam family "Bacterial small subunit ribosomal RNA", at positions 338 to 795 of the family's 1533-position model. The record is from RNAcentral.
CCUACGGGUGGCAGCAGUAGGGAAUCUUCCGCAAUGGACGCAAGUCUGACGCAGCAACGCCGCGUGAGUGAAGAAGGUUUUCGGAUCGUAAAACUCUGUUGUUAGAGAAGAACAUGUCCUUGCGUAACUGUUAUCGCCUUGACGGUAUCUAACCAGACGGCCCCGGCUAACUACGUGCGAGCAGCCGCGGUAAUACGUAGGUGGCAAGCGUUGGCCGGGUUUAUGGGGCGUAAAGUGAGCGCAGGCGGCGCGGUAAGUCUGAUGUGAAAGCCCCCGGCUCAACCGGGGAGGGUCAUUGGAAACUGGGGAGCUUGAGUGCGGGAGAGGAGGGUGGAAUUCCAUGUGUAGCGGUGAAAUGCGUAGAUAUAAGGAGGAACACCAGUGGCGAAGGCGACUUGCUGGACUGUAACUGACGCUGAGGCUCGAAAGCGUGGGUAGCAAACAGGAUUAGAUACCCUAGUAGUC